This 271-nucleotide unclassified non-coding RNA is filed under the name Hevea brasiliensis (rubber tree). Lineage: Eukaryota; Viridiplantae; Streptophyta; Magnoliopsida; Malpighiales; Euphorbiaceae. The record is from RNAcentral.
UCUGGAUAUCUUUUCCGUCAUCUAGUUUAUAUAGCCCCGCUUUAGGGCCAAAAAUUGGGCCAACGAAAAUUAUUCAGUUUUACAUAACUAACCUUUGGAGCUGAACCUCCAGCUUUCAUUUGCAAUUAGUGUGUUAUUCAAUUGAUUAGUUUAUCUCUCAGCCUUCGAUGAAUCAAGUUGAUUAAUUAAUUGAUUGUCUGGUAAGCAGGUUAGAGGACUCGUACUCUGAAUUCUAGAAUAAAGCAGAGCCAGAUCACAGAGACAAAACGAG